UGCCCUGGUUUUUCAAAAACAUCACUAGAAGAGAAAGACUUUUAGCAAUACCUGCCCAGUGCGAAAUAUUACUGUAAACGGCCGCCCUAGCGUGAGGGUGCUAAGGUAGCGAAAUUCCUUGCCUUUUGAUUGUAGGCCUGCAUGAAUGGUUUAACGAGGGUUUAACUGUCUCUUGAUUUAAAAUUGAAAUUGUACUGAAGGUGAAGAUACCUUCAUUAAAAAGUCAGACAAAAAGACCCCGUGCAACUUUGAAAAUUAACUUUAUUCAGAAGUGAAAGAUUUUUAGGUGGGGCGCCUAGAAAGUAAAUCUAACCUUUCUGAACAUUUAAUUCUUUCCGGACUUGACCCGAUUAUAUUCGAUCAUAGGAGAAGUUACGCCGGGGAUAACAGGCUAAUCCUUUAGUAGAGCUCGUAUUGGCUAAAGGGAUUGGCACCUCGAUGUUGAAUCAGGGAUGAUAGCUUCAAGGCGUAGAGGCUUUGAGAGUAGGUCUGUUCGACCUUUAAUACCCUACGUGAUCUGAGUCCAAAAACCGGA
This 535-nucleotide ribosomal RNA is filed under the name Magallana ariakensis (Suminoe oyster). Its description in RNAcentral is "partial large subunit ribosomal RNA". It matches the Rfam family "Bacterial large subunit ribosomal RNA", at positions 1792 to 2622 of the family's 2925-position model. The record is from RNAcentral. Lineage: Eukaryota; Metazoa; Mollusca; Bivalvia; Ostreida; Ostreidae.